Molecule: ribosomal RNA, 388 nt
Filed under: Embryophyta sp.
Lineage: Eukaryota; Viridiplantae; Streptophyta
Description: partial small subunit ribosomal RNA
Rfam family: Eukaryotic small subunit ribosomal RNA
Source: RNAcentral
AUUCCAGCUCCAAUAGCGUAUAUUUAAGUUGUUGCAGUUAAAAAGCUCGUAGUUGGACUUUGGGACGGGUCGGUCGGUCCGCCUCGCGGUGUGCACCGGUCGUCCCAUCCCUUCUGUCGGCGAUGCGUGCCUGGCCUUAACUGGCCGGGUCAUGCCUCCGGCGCUGUUACUUUGAAGAAAUUAGAGUGCUCAAAGCAAGCCCACGCUCUGGAUACAUUAGCAUGGGAUAACAUCACAGGAUUUCGGUCCUAUUGUGUUGGCCUUCGGGAUCGGAGUAAUGAUUAAGAGGGACAGUCGGGGGCAUUCGUAUUUCAUAGUCAGAGGUGAAAUUCUUGGAUUUAUGAAAGACGAACCACUGCGAAAGCAUUUGCCAAGGAUGUUUUCAUUG